UGGCGGACCGGCGGCACGGGUGAGUAACGCGUAUCCAACCUGCCCUUUACUAUGGGACAGCCCGUCGAAAGGCGGAUUAAUACCGUAUGUUGUCAUGUUGAUGCAUAUUUUCAUGACCAAAGGCUUCGGCCGGUAAAGGAUGGGGAUGCGUCUGAUUAGCUUGCCGGCGGGGUAACGGCCCACCGGGGCGACGAUCAGUAGGGGUUCUGAGAGGAAGGUCCCCCACAUUGGAACUGAGACACGGUCCAAACUCCUACGGGAGGCAGCAG
RNAcentral lists this ribosomal RNA (269 nucleotides) under uncultured bacterium. Its description in RNAcentral is "partial 16S ribosomal RNA". It matches the Rfam family "Bacterial small subunit ribosomal RNA", at positions 88 to 354 of the family's 1533-position model. The record is from RNAcentral.